This is a long non-coding RNA of Strigops habroptila (Kakapo), 2885 nucleotides long. Lineage: Eukaryota; Metazoa; Chordata; Aves; Psittaciformes; Psittacidae. The record is from Ensembl.
UUUUUUUGUUUGGUUUGGGAAUUUUUGGGUUUUAUUUUUUGGUUGGUUUAUUUUUUUUCCUUUUUCAAGCAAGGUCAGGAUAUUAUUGUGAGAACACCCAAAAGCAGUUCCAUUUGCCAAAAUAAGCUCAAAUUUGUUAGUGAAUUGACCCUUGCUUAUGUCAGACCCUCAGACAGAAAGAAGCUUAUUGAUAAAUGAAUGGCACUUUUUUUGUUGUUAGUGUUGUGAAAGUGUCCAGAAUUGUUCUUCUGGUGUUUUGUGACUGAAUGUAUAAAAUUGUUUGUUCACCCCACGGGGGGCCCUUGGCCCCGGUACUGUUUCCUGCUGCAUGCCAGUGCUGUUUGAUGGUUUCACUGGAACAGAGAGAGGAGGCCUCGCACAGGACAGAAAAUAGGCAGGAUAGCUCAUGCAAAGACCCUCAGCGAUAGCCACAACAGAGGCUGGGGUGUGGAAGACAGCAGUGAGCGCUGUCAGCCACAUCCAUGUAUUUGAGCAAAGCUAAAUCUACCACCGCCUCCCCACCCCUUCCUCUUCUCUCAAGCUUUAAGUUUGUGCUUUCUGAAGCACAGAAAGUGCAAAACCUUCCUUUUCAAAAGCUAAUAGGUAUCUACCUGUCUUGUUCCCCCUUGCUUACCUGCAAGCUUGGAAAAAGAGGGUAGUGGGCCUUUCUACGAAAACAGUAGGGGCAGCUGCUUGUAAGGGAAGGGAGGGAAGGAAGUCAGAGUUGCUGGGUGGUUGAGGACCAGCCUGUGAGUGGGCUGGCAUGAGAGAGAAGGCAUGUUAAAAGUGCAAAGACCUUAUAGUGAAGCUGAUCCCUUGCAUCAGUGGGUGGAUGCCCCUCCGAGUUCUGAGUUGGUCCUGUAGAGAGCAGGUGGUCAGUGCUGCAUUUAUAUAUCUGUCUUUUACCAUCUGGGAAGGCAAGGGAGAUGUCUAUGUUAACAGCUCGCACAGGGAAUGUACAGCGUUGGCACAUACAGGUAAAGGGAACACAUUGCUUUUGCCAUGCUUGUUAUAAAACAGUUUUCCCCAAGGGUGUGGUAAACUUGUUUUGAGACAAUAGCUUAUGAUCAAGAGACUAUGUUGUCCUCUGCCUGCUGAGCUUACUGUCCUAGCAGAGAAAGGUGAACCUUCUGAGUGUGGAACCACAUGGUCAGACACUUCAGAUCCUCUCCUGUAACAAGCACUUCCUGGAGUGGUGACCCCUUUUUCUCUUCCACCUCUCUUUCCCUUGCACCCUUAAUUUCUUAAAGUACAGUGGCUUAGCAGGGAGUGGGUGGGUGAUGAUCCCCAGUUGUCGGGGAGCUCUAGAGAGGAGCAGGGCGCAGUGGGAGCACGUAAUGGCUGACAGGAGGAGCUGGGUUGCCACCAAGCUGGGAUGGGGUACAAGCUUUGGUCCUGAGGUUGUUUCCAUUUGCUCUGCAAAGACACCAGGGGCUCUUGUCUGAGAGUACAGGUCAGACUUGGAAGAGGAAAGCUCCCAAGACCGCUCGGAACCUCUACCACAGUUUAUCUCGUUACUGGGGCACUGGGAGGGGGAUUUUGGAGGAGGAGGAAGAAGUGGAAAGCCUUUAUUAUUAUUAUUUUUUAACCAGAAAAUGUAGUGUCAGCACGAAGAAGCUUUUUGCAAACCUGUCAAAUAUUAAGCAGCUUUUUUUAUUUUUGUUCUUGUUGCUUUUAAAUCUGAAGUAUGUUUUGAAGCACUUUGGAAAUGCAAAGCACUAGGAGUGCUAAGUACUCCUUAUCAUCUGCCUAAAAGUGGCAUUUGAAAAGCAAAAGAUGUAUUUGUUUCAGGCUGCUGGCUGCUCCUUAUCAUUUUUCCAGAGCUGCCACCCAGCCCUUUGCCUCCCUCCCAUGGCCGAAGGGGGAGCGUGUUCCACCGCACCAAGGAAAGGCAGGCUCCCCACUCGGGGAGAGGAGAGUGGCCAAGUUCACCUUCGGGGUCCAGGUUGGCUUCCUCCCUCACGGCCUCCUUUGUCUGAAGAAAGGGAAAAAUGAAGUUGAGUUUCAGUUUGAGUGGUCCUAGUCUGGAACCAUGACCACUUCUGCCAGCUCUAGAGACAUCUUUACAGAGUUUCCUGUCUGAAAAAUUGCACCUUAUUAGCUUUGUUGUGGAAUGGGGAGAGGAAGGGCGGGUAAAGCAGGAGCUGUCUUCAGCUGCUGCUGGAUUUUUCUAGAGGCCAUUUCCUCACCUCAUCCCCAACAUAAUGGCAACAAAAGAACUGAAAUCAUUUAGAUGAAGCUUUUGUUCUGUGUAUCUUGAGAACCCUUUGAGCAGGCUAAGAUGAGAUAAUCUGUUUUUCCUCACCUAGCCAGCUCUGCAGCCGCGGGAACCCCAGCUCUCCCUCUGGGUUUCAGCACCAACCUUUCCCCUCAGCAUAUGCACAGCGUUGGGACCCUUUUGCACACUGACUCAUCCAAUUUGGUAUGCUCCCUUUCAGUUGGGAGAAGGAGGAGUAGAUGGGGGCUUGGGUUGGAUAGAGGGGAGGGUCCCUGGUUAUUUUUGUUCUUGUCCCUUCAGUCGUUGCUGUUGUUACACGCUAGAAUAUCUGAGUCUUUGCACACAGAAAGCUUCCUUUUGCACAGAAUGAGCUUCUAGCUUUUGUACAGACUAAUUGAAUGUAUUUGGGGAGGGGGGGGGAAAUAGGGAGUAAACCAAUUCCAAGCAAACCAAUCGGAGUAUAAUGCCUUUUCUGAGCGAGUAUGUGCUGUAAAAGGAGAUUGUAAUAGCAAAGGGAGGGCAGGCUCAAGUAUAAUUUGACACAAAGCGUGGUUUUAUUUUUGUACUGAUAUGGAUAAGAGACUGUACAGCAUCUAUUUAUUUAGAUGAUUUAUGUGGUAAAUGUUGCAAACAAAAUUAUGAAAACAUUAAAUAUGAGAACUGACAU